GACGAACGCUGGCGGCGUGCCUAAUACAUGCAAGUAGAACGCUGAAGAGAGGAGCUUGCUCUUCUUGGAUGAGUUGCGAACGGGUGAGUAACGCGUAGGUAACCUGCCUUGUAGCGGGGGAUAACUAUUGGAAACGAUAGCUAAUACCGCAUAACAAUGGAUGACACAUGUCAUUUAUUUGAAAGGGGCAAUUGCUCCACUACAAGAUGGACCUGCGUUGUAUUAGCUAGUAGGUGAGGUAAUGGCUCACCUAGGCGACGAUACGUAGCCGACCUGUGAGGGUGAUCGGCGACACUGGGACUGAGACACGGCCCAGACUCCUACGGGGGGCGGCAGUAGGGAAUCUUCGGCAAUGGGGGCAACCCUGACCGAGCAACGCCGCGUGAGUGAAGAAGGUUUUCGGAUCGUAAAGCUCUGUUGUAAGUCAAGAACGGGUGUGAGAGUGGAAAGUUCACACUGUGACGGUAGCUUACCAGAAAGGGACGGCUAACUACGUG
This 497-nucleotide ribosomal RNA is filed under the name uncultured bacterium. RNAcentral describes it as "partial 16S ribosomal RNA". It matches the Rfam family "Bacterial small subunit ribosomal RNA", at positions 28 to 507 of the family's 1533-position model. The record is from RNAcentral.